CGCGGAGUGGAGCAGUUGGCAGCUCGUCGGGCUCAUAACCCGAAGGUCGGAGGUUCAAGUCCUUCCUCCGCAACCA
This 76-nucleotide transfer RNA is filed under the name Veillonella parvula. Its description in RNAcentral is "tRNA-Met". It matches the Rfam family "tRNA". Rfam says of the family: Transfer RNA (tRNA) molecules are approximately 80 nucleotides in length. Their secondary structure includes four short double-helical elements and three loops (D, anti-codon, and T loops). Lineage: Bacteria; Bacillati; Bacillota; Negativicutes; Veillonellales; Veillonellaceae. RNAcentral also lists the same sequence under 6 other names. The record is from RNAcentral.